Molecule: ribosomal RNA, 255 nt
Filed under: uncultured bacterium
Lineage: Bacteria
Description: partial 16S ribosomal RNA
Rfam family: Bacterial small subunit ribosomal RNA
Source: RNAcentral
UACGUAGGGUGCAAGCGUUGUCCGGAAUUAUUGGGCGUAAAGAGCUCGUAGGCGGUUUGUUGCGUCGGCUGUGAAAUCCCGAGGCUCAACCUCGGGUCUGCAGUCGAUACGAGCAAACUAGAGUGUUGCAGGGGAGACUGGAAUUCCUGGUGUAGCGGUGAAAUGCGCAGAUAUCAGGAGGAACACCGGUGGCGAAGGCGGAUCUCUGGGCCAUUACUGACGCUGGAGGAGCGAAAGCCGUGGGGAGCGAACAGG